AGUGAACGCUGGCGGUAGGCCUAACACAUGCAAGUCGAACGGCAGCACAGUAAGAGCUUGCUCUUACGGGUGGCGAGUGGCGGACGGGUGAGGAAUACAUCGGAAUCUACUUUUUCGUGGGGGAUCACGUAGGGAAACUUACGCUAAUACCGCAUUCGACCUACGGGUGAAAGCAGGGGAUCUUCGGACCUUGCGCGAUUGAAUGAGCCGAUGUCGGAUUAGCUAGUUGGCGGGGUAAAGGCCCACCAAGGCGACGAUCCGUAGCUGGUCUGAGAGGAUGAUCAGCCACACUGGAACUGAGACACGGUCCAGACUCCUACGGGAGGCAGCAGUGGGGAAUAUUGGACAAUGGGCGCAAGCCUGAUCCAGCCAUACCGCGUGGGUGAAGAAGGCCUUCGGGUUGUAAAGCCCUUUUGUUGGGAAAGAAAAGCAGCAGGUUAAUACCCCGCUGUUCUGACGGUACCCAAAGAAUAAGCACCGGCUAACUUCGUG
RNAcentral lists this ribosomal RNA (492 nucleotides) under uncultured bacterium. RNAcentral describes it as "partial 16S ribosomal RNA". It matches the Rfam family "Bacterial small subunit ribosomal RNA", at positions 29 to 507 of the family's 1533-position model. The record is from RNAcentral.